This 70-nucleotide transfer RNA is filed under the name Marmota monax (woodchuck). RNAcentral describes it as "tRNA.Ala". The stretch from base 8 to 63 matches the Rfam family "tRNA", at positions 9 to 63 of the family's 71-position model. Rfam says of the family: Transfer RNA (tRNA) molecules are approximately 80 nucleotides in length. Their secondary structure includes four short double-helical elements and three loops (D, anti-codon, and T loops). The record is from RNAcentral. Lineage: Eukaryota; Metazoa; Chordata; Mammalia; Rodentia; Sciuridae.
GGGCUGGGGCUCAGUGGUAGAGCACUCACCUAGCAUGUGUGAGGCCCUGGGUUCAAUCCUCAGUACCACA